UUUUUUUUUUCUUGUUUUUUUUUCGGUUUUUUUUUUUUUUUUUUUUUUUGGGGGGGGGGGUAUUUUUGUAGGCAUAUUAAACAUAAAUAUGUACAUCUGUUUUUAUGUCAUAUCUCAACCUCCGUAUAUUUGGUUUCCUCGGAAAUGUUUUUACACGAUGUAUUUUCUGGAAAAUACACUGUACUACAAAGACCGUGCAAUGUCUUGAGAGAAAGCGAAAUUCAGAGAGAGAAGCACAUUAAUUUAUUGUCACAUAUAAUUAGAUCUCAAAGGGAGUUGCAGAAUAACGGAUACUGGCGAAUGUCAAAAUUGAACAAAAAAGUUUGCAAAAUUAUAAAGAAUAACAACGGAAAAUAAAAUAAUUAUUUAAUAUAAUAGUGUAGACCAUGUACAGAAUUAAGAAAUCAUGUGAUAGAAGAAUUUUACAAAAUCGUUAAUUGAAGAUUUUACAGAAUAAGCGUUAUAUUUAAAGAUAAAGAACAUUUAGGUCCACACUUCAUAUGGACCCUUAAAAAUCGUUGGAUUAUCUCGGUGUUGCUGGUCAGUAAUGAAUAAAAAAUCACUGGUCAAUUUAAAGGUUGUUGUAAGUGAUGCAAUAUAUUCUUAUUUUCCUGUUCCCCUUAUGUAACUUCCAGUUUUAUUAAAGUUUACAUUCAUCAAAGCCUUAGUUUAAUUUAGUUUCCUGUCAUUACUAUACCCCCCCCCUUUUAUUUGUCGCAUGUUGUGUAUCAUGUACUGAUUCUAUAUAUACUUCGAGCAUACAUAUGUACACUUAUGGAACAAUAACCAUUUAGUAAACUUUUUAAAACGUUUUUGUAGACUUGUAUACAAUAAAUUUCAUACAGAACAAAAAAAGAUAUUAACAAAGAUGUCAGUUCGUCUGCGUGUUUUACUUGUUAACUUGCAGAUGUAUAAAUACUACUCUUUAUUUUCAAGAAUCAUUGAUAUAAUGUUUGUUUAUAUAUGCGAUGUUAAGCAGCAGUAUAUGGACAGAACACGUUCUGUCGUGAUAUAGUACCAAAACACAAGCUUUUACAUGUUCCGCUGCUAAAGAAACCGUUUUUUUUUUUUUUCAAAAGUGGCCAAAUCAUAUAUCGGAACGGAGAAAAAGUGUAAACAGAUGACUUACAAGAUAGUCUAAGAGAUUUAUGAAUUGGUUACCCAAAAAUGACAAAGUUCAACUAUCUCUCAUUAGAGCAAAUAUUAAUAAAGAUCAAAACCCUGACCACAUGCAAACAGACAGCAAAGUGAAAACGUUCUAGGAUUCAAACUGUAGAUGUUUUGCGGAAUAACUAUAAAGGGGGACGGACGGACGGAAGGACGGGCGGCCAGACGGAAUGACGGGCGGACAGACGUACAGGGGUAGUUGAGGGGGGCAUAAAAAAAUAUAGCUUCAAUUACAUCUUUUAUUGCGUCAACUUGUAGACAGUAACCCUGAUGAUUUCUAUUUUUAAGUUUUUACCAUUUUUGCGUUCAUGUACUUACAACGUAUUUUUGUCUGAAUUAGUAAUUGUUUUAGAUAUGUAUAUUGAUAAUGAACAUACAUGUAUCAUAUUUUUUACAACGUAUAAUUUCUUUUUAAAAUGUUCCAUAAAAGAGGGUCUGAUUGGGGUUUACGGAAUACAGAAUAAUGGGCAAAAAUUGCAGAAUAAAAUGCAAAAAAGAAAAAAAAAAAA
This 1676-nucleotide long non-coding RNA is filed under the name Mytilus galloprovincialis (Mediterranean mussel). Lineage: Eukaryota; Metazoa; Mollusca; Bivalvia; Mytilida; Mytilidae. The record is from RNAcentral.